UUGCAGCUGAUGAUAAGGAAAAGUACCUUUAAAAGGCAGCCUAAAGCGAGCCGGUGGCGGUGAAAGUCCGGCGGCGGGCAUUAAAGGGAAUGGGCCUUGGAGGCGCACUGCGAGCCGCAAGGGGUAGCAGCGCCGGGAAUGCUUUGCCCGUUACCAUAAAAGCGGAUAUCGGCAUCGGCCCGUAUCUUUUAAGCGGACUUAUUUAAGUCAAGCAGGGUGGCACCGCGAAAGUUUACAGCCUUUCGUCCCUACA
This 253-nucleotide non-coding RNA is filed under the name Phascolarctobacterium sp. Its description in RNAcentral is "T-box sequence". It matches the Rfam family "T-box leader". From Rfam's summary of the family: Uncharged tRNA acts as the effector for transcription antitermination of genes in the T-box leader family. T-boxes are found upstream of many aminoacyl-tRNA synthetase genes and some amino acid biosynthetic genes usually in Gram-positive bacteria. The anticodon of a specific tRNA base pairs to a specifier sequence within the T-box motif, and the NCCA acceptor tail of the tRNA base pairs to a conserved bulge in the T-box antiterminator hairpin. The record is from RNAcentral. Lineage: Bacteria; Bacillati; Bacillota; Negativicutes; Acidaminococcales; Acidaminococcaceae.